Molecule: small RNA, 730 nt
Filed under: Pongo abelii (Sumatran orangutan)
Lineage: Eukaryota; Metazoa; Chordata; Mammalia; Primates; Hominidae
Description: retained intron
Source: RNAcentral
AGUGAGAGUUGCUGGUGGCUAAUUAGCAGUGCGUUUUAGUUUCUGCUGACAAUUCCAGGCAGGCCAUGGUGGGUGUCCCAGAGAUGAGGGCCCAGCUCCCCGGCCCUUUCCCCCGGGAGGCCGGCGGGUGACGCUCUUGAGGUUUCUCCUGCAGCACAUUCACGCACAACAUGCUGGCCUUUGGACUGAACAAGAAGCUGUGCAAUGACUUCCUGAAGAAGCAGGCUGUGAUUGGCAACCUGGAUGAAGAGCAAUACAAGCUGCUUAGUGACCACAUUGAGCAAAUGGCCACUGAGUAGGGCCCAGAGGUCGCCCUCCGCAGGAGGACUGAGGCCAUGCGCCAUUCUCCCGGGCCCAGCGCCCGGCCCGUCACCCCACCUGAUGACCUGCAUGAAGCCAGCAGCACCCAGAGCCACUCCUGCUGCCCUAGAACUAGCGGUUAGAAGAAUCCGCUGCUCCUCCCUCAUCUCCUCUGCCUGUGUCUGCGACCCCUAUCCAUGUGCCAAAGUGUCCCUUGGGUCACACGGCUAAAGCCGAGGUGACCAGUUGUACCCUGAGUGCCAGGCUUGUGAGAUGAGACCAAGAGGGAGGAGGGGAAGGACGCCAUGGGCCAUCGUGGGCCAAGGGCUGGCAAGGGUGGAGGCGGGUGAGGGAUGCCAGCAGGACAGCCAUGAGGUGGGGCUGCAGCCGGCACACCCAGUGGUGGAGGGCCAGCGCUGCCACUCACGGU